This 926-nucleotide unclassified non-coding RNA is filed under the name Bombus terrestris (buff-tailed bumblebee). Its description in RNAcentral is "misc RNA ENSBTSG00005031485.1". The record is from RNAcentral. Lineage: Eukaryota; Metazoa; Arthropoda; Insecta; Hymenoptera; Apidae.
AACAGAAGCACCACAGCCGUUACUCACUCCAGUAGUAAGAUGAUAACCACUUAGUUCGAUGGGUUCGUCCAAAAUGCGAGCGAUACAGGUUGUCGUUGGAAUCAUUCUAAAUGCGAAACGACAUAAUGCAGCCACACGUUAAGACACGUUAGAAUCUUUUUAGAAAAGAAAUGCAUCGCGCGUUACGCACCGGAAUGAUUCGGUGAUACAUGCGCGCAGAUACUUGGCGCGCCGUAAAUCAUCGAUCGUCAAAUCGCAGCCAGGCGGUGCCAAUGAAUAGGUCUCUUCGUAAAGUUUAGCUUGUACAUCUGGAUUACGGCCGAUCAAAUAGAAUAGAAACACCAAGGUGUUUCCUAACUGUGCACAACCAUGAGACGAUAUCGAUAUUUGGAUCCAGACUGCGACCGAGGCCUUCGAUCACUACCAUACUGAGAAUCACGCUGCUGAAGGUUCCGUCUUGCUUCACACGAUGCCGAACCAUCGCGGAAAACAAUUCAGUCACAACGGUACUCACGUCUACCUGUAACAUUUUCAAACGUUCCUCUGAAAGGGUUUUGAUCGAUUUCGACCAUUAUUUCUCGCGUUAUACGCUCGUGUCUUUGAAAAUGUUUGAAGAUUACAUUGACUCUACUUCGAAGAUGCGAGUUUACGAUAUCUUUCAUUGUAUUCUUAAAACCGUCUGGGUCGGGGGAUACGCGCGAACUAUGUUCCAGAAUGUAUUCCGCUGCCAUUUCACCCUGAAAUAAAUAAAUGAAGAAGUGAAUGGAAAAAAAGUAAAGGUAUAAAAAGAGGGUAAAAGUAAGAAAUAUAUGUAGGUACGUUUCCCAUGAGCACCGAUCGGAAGACAUUCUUAAGAUUUUGUCGACAGCGGUCGUUCAGAGACACUACCAAACCACAAUCGAGUAUGACCAAGCGUGGAUAAGUCG